UUAAUUGAAGAGUUUGAUCAUGGCUCAGAUUGAACGCUGGCGGCAGGCCUAACACAUGCAAGUCGAACGGUAACAGGGAGCAGCUUGCUGCUCUGCUGACGAGUGGCGGACGGGUGAGUAAUGUCUGGGAAACUGCCUGAUGGAGGGGGAUAACUACUGGAAACGGUAGCUAAUACCGCAUAACGUCUACGGACCAAAGUGGGGGACCU
RNAcentral lists this ribosomal RNA (209 nucleotides) under Cronobacter sakazakii. RNAcentral describes it as "partial 16S ribosomal RNA". It matches the Rfam family "Bacterial small subunit ribosomal RNA", at positions 1 to 213 of the family's 1533-position model. The record is from RNAcentral. Lineage: Bacteria; Pseudomonadati; Pseudomonadota; Gammaproteobacteria; Enterobacterales; Enterobacteriaceae.